RNAcentral lists this ribosomal RNA (255 nucleotides) under uncultured prokaryote. RNAcentral describes it as "partial 16S ribosomal RNA". It matches the Rfam family "Bacterial small subunit ribosomal RNA", at positions 521 to 775 of the family's 1533-position model. The record is from RNAcentral.
UAAGACGAACCGUACGAACGUUAUUCGGAAUCACUGGGCUUAAAGGGUGCGUAGGCGGCGCGGAAAGUUGGGUGUGAAAUCCCUCGGCUCAACCGAGGAACUGCGCCCAAAACUACCGUGCUCGAGGGAGACAGAGGUGAGCGGAACUUAGGGUGGAGCGGUGAAAUGCGUUGAUAUCCUAAGGAACACCUGUGGCGAAAGCGGCUUACUGGGUCUUUUCUGACGCUGAGGCGCGAAAGCUAGGGGAGCGAACAG